Molecule: ribosomal RNA, 503 nt
Filed under: Staphylococcus warneri
Lineage: Bacteria; Bacillati; Bacillota; Bacilli; Caryophanales; Staphylococcaceae
Description: bacterial SSU rRNA
Rfam family: Bacterial small subunit ribosomal RNA
Source: RNAcentral
CAGGAUGAACGCUGGCGGCGUGCCUAAUACAUGCAAGUCGAGCGAACAGAUAAGGAGCUUGCUCCUUUGACGUUAGCGGCGGACGGGUGAGUAACACGUGGAUAACCUACCUAUAAGACUGGGAUAACUUCGGGAAACCGGAGCUAAUACCGGAUAACAUAUUGAACCGCAUGGUUCAAUAGUGAAAGGCGGCUUUGCUGUCACUUAUAGAUGGAUCCGCGCCGUAUUAGCUAGUUGGUAAGGUAACGGCUUACCAAGGCAACGAUACGUAGCCGACCUGAGAGGGUGAUCGGCCACACUGGAACUGAGACACGGUCCAGACUCCUACGGGAGGCAGCAGUAGGGAAUCUUCCGCAAUGGGCGAAAGCCUGACGGAGCAACGCCGCGUGAGUGAUGAAGGUCUUCGGAUCGUAAAACUCUGUUAUCAGGGAAGAACAAAUGUGUAAGUAACUGUGCACAUCUUGACGGUACCUGAUCAGAAAGCCACGGCUAACUACGUGCCA